UCCGGCUUAACGCCGGCAGUCCCCCCAGAGUCCCCGGCCGAACCGCUGGCAACUGGGAGCGAGGGUUGCGCUCGUUGCGGGACUUAACCCAACAUCUCACGACACGAGCCGACGACAGCCAUGCAGCACCUGUGUUCCGGCUCUCUUUCGAGCACCCCCACCUCUCAGCAGGGUUCCGGACAUGUCAAGGGUAGGUAAGGUUUUUCGCGUUGCAUCGAAUUAAUCCACAUCAUCCACCGCUUGUGCGGGUCCCCGUCAAUUCCUUUGAGUUUUAAUCUUGCGACCGUACUCCCCAGGCGGUCAACUUCACGCGUUAGCUGCGUUACCAAGGAAGUUAAUCCCCGACAACUAGUUGACAUCGUUUAGGGCGUGGACUAC
RNAcentral lists this unclassified non-coding RNA (378 nucleotides) under uncultured Gammaproteobacteria bacterium. RNAcentral's name for it is "contains 16S-23S intergenic spacer region". The record is from RNAcentral. Lineage: Bacteria; Pseudomonadati; Pseudomonadota; Gammaproteobacteria.